UUAUCUUUUCAUGGACAUGCCCUGCCUGGGAUUUCUGAAUUGCCUAAAAUGUCCUGGUUUUGGCAUUGUUUAUUAUUGACUCUCCACAGUUCUCAUAUACUACAUGUAUGCAUAUUUGCAAUGGUUUGGCCAAUCUCUGUAGAUCCCGCCUUCUCACACACUACCAUUGGUUGAUUAUGCACAUGUCUACUUGCUUUUUCAAACUACUUUUCAGUCAUUACCAUCAGCAUGUAUGCAAACAAUAGGAAAACAAAGUAAAUAGGUGGACAUUUUAUGUAAUCCCAUGCAGGAAAAAAAAGAGGACUCAAGGACAGCCUAUCAAACUUACUCCAAAAAUGCAUUUUUUGUGAACAGAAAGCUGGAGGUACAGAAAUGCUCUGCAGCACUGCCUAUACAUGAGCACACAUGCCAAGGGAGAGGAAAGAGGACAAGUCCUCAAACGUGACCACACAUACAAACUCGCUGGCUUGAAGCAGGCAGCUGGAGGGUGGAGAGGUUGAAGUCUCCACAGUCUCGGCCUGAUUAAAACUCCCAGCACUGCCUCUCACUCCCCGUGGAUUGAUUAACCUGACCUGUAUCGGAUCAACCUCUCGGGACACAAGCGCAGCACACUUUCCUGAAGUGGAUGAGAGGAACAGCAAUGGGGUGGGAGGAGGCAAGAGAGGUGGAAAGGAGAGACUAAAAACGGGAGAUCGGCAAAAGUGGACCGUGCCGGAAGAGAAGCAGAACAAGCCAGACCAGACUUGCAGGUCUGCAGGGUUCGAGGAAGAUGAUGAGCACCUGGCUUGAAGCGAAAAAUCACUUUAUCCACUAGCACCUCAGCCAAGUCACAUCCCCAUGACAACCACGAGCCAAUGAGAUGGCUGCCACUUGGGUCACACAAGCCUCCCACAGCACUGGACAAUACGUCCGAGAGGAAAUGCUCUGGCUCUCAUCUGAGAGAUACACAGCUCUGUUCAUCAGGUUUUAAAAAAUGAUCUGUGUGCCGUUGUGUCCACCAAAUGCCAUAGUUACUGGAGUUGAUGCAACUAUGAAACCACAGUAAAAUAAAAUGGCAUUGCCUUUAUG
Molecule: long non-coding RNA, 1068 nt
Organism: Carassius auratus (goldfish)
Lineage: Eukaryota; Metazoa; Chordata; Actinopteri; Cypriniformes; Cyprinidae
Exons: 2
Source: RefSeq, a predicted model, not a curated record